GCCCUCGUACCUCACCUGGAUAGAGGAAUCGCCUCCGAAGCGGUCAGUAGUUGGUUCAAGUCCAAUCGAGGGCGCCA
RNAcentral lists this transfer RNA (77 nucleotides) under Erysipelotrichaceae bacterium OPF54. RNAcentral's name for it is "tRNA-Arg". It matches the Rfam family "tRNA". From Rfam's summary of the family: Transfer RNA (tRNA) molecules are approximately 80 nucleotides in length. Their secondary structure includes four short double-helical elements and three loops (D, anti-codon, and T loops). The record is from RNAcentral. Lineage: Bacteria; Bacillati; Bacillota; Erysipelotrichia; Erysipelotrichales; Erysipelotrichaceae.